Oncorhynchus keta (chum salmon) is the source of this 651-nucleotide long non-coding RNA. RefSeq lists it as uncharacterized. The record is from RefSeq and is a predicted model, not a curated record. The transcript has 3 exons. Lineage: Eukaryota; Metazoa; Chordata; Actinopteri; Salmoniformes; Salmonidae.
ACAACCAGCUGUCUAGGUCUGAAAGAUCAACAACCAGCUGUCUAGGUCUGAUCCCCUCAACAACCGGCUGUCUAGGUCUGAUCCCCUCAACAACCGGCUGUCUAGGUCUGAUCCCCUCAACAACCGGCUGUCUAGGUCUGAUCCCCUCAACAACCGGCUGUCUAGGUCCGAUCCCCUCAACAACCGGCUGUCUAGGUCCGAUCCCCUCAACAACCGGCUGUCUAGGUCCGAUCCCCUCAACAACCGGCUGUCUAGGUCCGAUCCCCUCAACAACCGGCUGUCUAGGUCCGAUCCCCUCAACAACCGGCUGUCUAGGUCCGAUCCCCUCAACAACCGGCUGUCUAGGUCCGAUCCCCUCAACAACCGGCUGUCUAGGUCCGAUCCCCUCAACAACCGGCUGUCUAGGUCCGAUCCCCUCAACAACCGGCUGUCUAGGUCCGAUCCCCUCAACAACCGGCUGUCUAGGUCCGAUCCCCUCAACAACCGGCUGUCUAGGUCCGAUCCCCUCAACAACCGGCUGUCUAGGUCCGAUCCCCUCAACAACCGGCUGUCUAGGUCCGAUCCCCUCAACAACCGGCUGUCUAGGUCCGAUCCCCUCAACAACCGGCUGUCUAGGUCCGAUCCCCUCAACAACCAGCUGUCUAGGUCCGA